Long non-coding RNA from Erinaceus europaeus (western European hedgehog), 332 nucleotides. RefSeq lists it as uncharacterized. The record is from RefSeq and is a predicted model, not a curated record. The transcript is spliced from 2 exons. NCBI's taxonomy places the organism in Eukaryota, Metazoa, Chordata, Mammalia, Eulipotyphla, Erinaceidae.
CCCUUUUCCUGCUUUGCCUCUGAAGUGCCAGCUGUUCCGUCCGUGGCAAAGCCCCAGGGCCAGGAGCUGGCUGUCCAGCGUGGGGGUGGGGGCGGGUCCCCAGUCCCUCUCAGGUUUUAUGGCAUAAGUAAAAACCAGCUCGCCAGGGUGAGCUAUGGAAAAAGUGACUUUAUGAUAUUUUAUCCAAGACAGCGACUAAUUCAAUUAAACGAAAGGGCUUCACAGGAACUGGUCCACUGCUAUUUUUUCCCCCCUGUGAAAUCAUAAUUGGAAAGCGGUGACAGAAUGACUUUAAUGUUAUAUAAUUAAAGAUACACCAAUAUCCAUUUAAA